GCUUCGAUAUCAGCUGCCUCUCAGUUUCUCACUUCACUGCCUAAGCAUGGUUUUCGAUUCUUCCUUGUUGGUCUUGCAAUAUCUAAUCAACAACUAGCUCUUGUCAGGUUUGCCUUUUCUUCACACUUGAACUUCUUCCAUUUCUCUCAGAACACACAAUGGUAAGUGAGAGCAUGGGCUUCUACAUCGUUUCUGGUGACACUACAGACCACAAACAUGGUCUCCUGCUACAGAAGAACUACAACACAAGCUGGCCAGACCACAGAUAUCAAAAUGGUCUCGGGUGGCAGCAGAGGCCACCCACAUAAACAUGGCCCUAUUGUUAAGAUUCAAGUAACACCACAGUUCAGACACGUCCUCAGGAGCAAUGUUCACUGUUAACCUGUGUUUGGAGCACAGGAGCUCCUUUGACAAGCUCCCAGAGACUGGUAACAAGACCUCCUAGAUGGCCACGUUGCUAGGUAACAGUGUUUCCUUGGUCACGGUGAAUCCAUGGAAGACUCCUGUCCCCAAAGUAGCAGCAGAUUCUUGGUGGACAGUUCUCAUAUCCUUGGAAAUGCAUGAUAGAUUAUCUACAGGAAAAUAGCUUUUAUGAAGCAAGAAGAACUUUUGUUCCACUUCCCAGACAUGUUCAAAAGCACGAGUUUCACACUUUCUGCCUUCAAUAUUAUGCACAUCACGACUUCGUAAUAUACAGGAAUUAGUUGUGGCUUCCACUUACUGGCAGUAGUCCAGAGAAAAAUUCUUAGGGAGGGAGCUGAUGAAAUGACAGACUGCUCUGCUUCGGUCAUGUAUCUGCCGACUACACAUUUUAAUUAAACAGCUCUCGCUCUGCAGACAUGUUAUGAGGCUCAUAAAUUCAUGAUUGUAAAGGACACCACGGUCUUCUGAUGGAAGACACAGAGUCGGUCUGCUCCCGUCCUGUGGAGAAACUGAAUCCUGAGUC
Long non-coding RNA from Grammomys surdaster, 946 nucleotides. RefSeq lists it as uncharacterized. NCBI's taxonomy places the organism in Eukaryota, Metazoa, Chordata, Mammalia, Rodentia, Muridae. The transcript is spliced from 6 exons. The record is from RefSeq and is a predicted model, not a curated record.